RNAcentral lists this ribosomal RNA (408 nucleotides) under Salmonella enterica. RNAcentral's name for it is "partial 23S ribosomal RNA". It matches the Rfam family "Bacterial large subunit ribosomal RNA", at positions 111 to 559 of the family's 2925-position model. RNAcentral also lists the same sequence under 3 other names. Lineage: Bacteria; Pseudomonadati; Pseudomonadota; Gammaproteobacteria; Enterobacterales; Enterobacteriaceae. The record is from RNAcentral.
UACCCGAAUGGGGAAACCCAGUGUGAUUCGUCACACUAUCAUUAACUGAAUCCAUAGGUUAAUGAGGCGAACCGGGGGAACUGAAACAUCUAAGUACCCCGAGGAAAAGAAAUCAACCGAGAUUCCCCCAGUAGCGGCGAGCGAACGGGGAGGAGCCCAGAGCCUGAAUCAGCAUGUGUGUUAGUGGAAGCGUCUGGAAAGGCGCGCGAUACAGGGUGACAGCCCCGUACACAAAAGCGCAUGUGCUGUGAGCUCGAUGAGUAGGGCGGGACACGUGGUAUCCUGUCUGAAUAUGGGGGGACCAUCCUCCAAGGCUAAAUACUCCUGACUGACCGAUAGUGAACCAGUACCGUGAGGGAAAGGCGAAAAGAACCCCGGCGAGGGGAGUGAAAAAGAACCUGAAACCGU